RNAcentral lists this unclassified non-coding RNA (343 nucleotides) under soil metagenome. Its description in RNAcentral is "partial contains 5.8S ribosomal RNA, internal transcribed spacer 2, and large subunit ribosomal RNA". The stretch from base 1 to 120 matches the Rfam family "5.8S ribosomal RNA", at positions 35 to 154 of the family's 154-position model. The record is from RNAcentral.
GAUGAAGAACGUAGCGAAAUGCGAUAAGUAAUGUGAAUUGCAGAAUUCAGUGAAUCAUCGAAUCUUUGAACGCACAUUGCGCCCGCUAGUAUUCUGGCGGGCAUGCCUGUCCGAGCGUCAUUUCAACCCUCAAGCCCCCGGGCUUGGUGUUGGGGAUCGGCGAGCCUCCGCGCCCGCCGUCCCCUAAAUCUAGUGGCGGUCUCGCUGUAGCUUCCUCUGCGUAGUAGCACACCUCGCACUGGGAAACAGCGCGGCCACGCCGUUAAACCCCCAACUUCUGAACGUUUGACCUCGGAUCAGGUAGGAAUACCCGCUGAACUCAAGCAUAUCAAUAAGCGGAGGA